Non-coding RNA from Vitis vinifera (wine grape), 105 nucleotides. NCBI's taxonomy places the organism in Eukaryota, Viridiplantae, Streptophyta, Magnoliopsida, Vitales, Vitaceae. The record is from RefSeq and is marked provisional.
UUUGUUUUCGUCCGGUUUCUCAGCAACCAAACAGGGUUCAUUCGAUUUUGAAAUUCCUACAUCGGAUGCUGGGUGUUGGCUGCUGAGAAAAUGUAGGAAGAGGGA